Molecule: long non-coding RNA, 714 nt
Organism: Panicum virgatum (switchgrass)
Lineage: Eukaryota; Viridiplantae; Streptophyta; Magnoliopsida; Poales; Poaceae
Exons: 3
Source: RefSeq, a predicted model, not a curated record
CCUUGGGAUAUCCAGUGUAGUACCUGUAAUUAUAAGUUUAGUAUACGCUUACACCUUACACAUGUAUUACACCUUACAUUCUCUUUUCCCUUUUCCCUUCCAUUCUCUGCAUGUACACUUAUGCUCUCUCUUUUUAUUAUUUUGUUUCUCAACAGGUACUGAAAAUUCUCGUAUUUGGUUGAGAUCUAAACUAGGCAUAAGGCAUAAGGCAUUUUGAAGUCUUUUACCAGAAUCCGCUCGACCGCAUCAUCAAUCCGAGACAUAGGUACCUCCCCUGUCUCCACCAAGAACACUAGAUCCUCAAGAAACUCCUCAAAUCUGUAAGGUAGUGGAAAUGGAUCCUACGGACAACCAAGACGAGUUAAUGCACGAGCUCAUUCGUGGUAGUACUGGGCACAUAGCUCCAGAGUUUGAUGAGGACGAGAACGAUGGCAGCCAAUUUUUAAACUUGCAUUAUCAUGGCGACGAGGAGCAAGAUAUUAGUGGGGAGGAAGAAGGAAAUGUCGAGGAAGCCGAGGUAUAAAAGUUUAGUGAUUCUUUCAGGCAUCAGGAUAAACGUUUUGUCAAUAUAUAUGUUAGGAGCAAGAUAUUGUUUGUGACACAUGCGACCCAGCUGCGAACUAUUUGUGUUAUGUUGCUAGCUUUGUUGAUGAUUUCAGUCCUUGUGUAAGGAGUCGUGCUCCAGCUAAAAAUUCUUAUGAAUGUUUCAGUCAA